AUUUGUGGCAGAAAUUGCACUGAAUUGCAGUCAAAUGGUUGUGAAUGAAACGAGAUUUGUGGAAAAUGACGCCACUUCCCGUGUUAGCCGCUGGUCGUAGCAUACAGCCCAUAUUCCAUUGCAGGUGAUGGGCCAACGUUCGUGUUGAGAUCCGCUGAGUUUCCUCGUACUCGUGGAGUUGAAUUUGUGGCAGAAAUUGCACUGAAUUGCAGUCAAAUGGUUGUGAAUGAAACGAGAUUUGUGGAAAAUGACGCCACUUCCCGUGUUAGCCGCUGGUCGUAGCAUACAGCCCAUAUUCCAUUGCAGGUGAUGGGCCAACGUUCGUGUUGAGAUCCGCUGAGUUUCCUCGUACUCGUGGAGUUGAAUUUGUGGCAGAAAUUGCACUGAAUUGCAGUCAAAUGGUUGUGAAUGAAACGAGAUUUGUGGAAAAUGACGCCACUUCCCGUGUUAGCCGCUGGUCGUAGCAUACAGCCCAUAUUCCAUUGCAGGUGAUGGGCGAAAGUUCUUGUGGAGAUCCGCUGAGCUUCCUCGGCGUACUCGUGGAUUUAUGAAUUUGUGUCAGAAAUUGCAGUCGAGUGGACUUCUGUGCGUGUGUUGUGAGUAAAUCGCGACGGCUCCCUUCCUUCAGCAUCGUCAAAACGCAACAUAGAGCAUUAUUACGCACUCGUUCCAUGAUUCAUGAUAAUGCCUGGAUUCUUUUAAAAACAAUCAAUGUGUGUUCCCUAUCUAUCUACAUUGUACAUGGUUGCAGGUCGUUAUUUAUAAAUCUUGAUAAUUUCAACACUUUUCUA
Molecule: long non-coding RNA, 791 nt
Organism: Sycon ciliatum
Lineage: Eukaryota; Metazoa; Porifera; Calcarea; Leucosolenida; Sycettidae
Exons: 2
Source: RefSeq, a predicted model, not a curated record